This 442-nucleotide ribosomal RNA is filed under the name uncultured bacterium. Its description in RNAcentral is "partial 16S ribosomal RNA". It matches the Rfam family "Bacterial small subunit ribosomal RNA", at positions 338 to 795 of the family's 1533-position model. The record is from RNAcentral.
CCUACGGGUGGCAGCAGUGGGGAAUAUUGGGCAAUGGGCGCAAGCCUGACCCAGCAACGCCGCGUGAAGGAAGAAGGCUUUCGGGUUGUAAACUUCUUUUAAGAGGGAAGAGCAGAAGACGGUACCUCUUGAAUAAGCCACGGCUAACUACGGGCCAGCAGCCGCGGGAAUACGUAGGUGGCAAGCGGUGUCCGGAUUUACGGGGUGUAAAGGGCGUGCAGCCGGGAAGACAAGUCAGAUGUGAAAUCCCGCGGCUCAACCGCGGAACUGCCUUUGAAACUGUUUUUCUUGAGUACCGGAGUUGUCAUCGGAAUUCCUUGUGUAGCGGUGAACUGCGUAGAUAUCAGGAAGAACACCAGUGGCGCAGGCGGGUUCCUGGACAUUACCUGCCGCUGAGGCACGAAGGCCAGGGGAGCGAACCGGAUUAGAUACCCUAGUAGUC